Molecule: long non-coding RNA, 1629 nt
Organism: Rhincodon typus (whale shark)
Lineage: Eukaryota; Metazoa; Chordata; Chondrichthyes; Orectolobiformes; Rhincodontidae
Exons: 3
Source: RefSeq, a predicted model, not a curated record
AACACCUUCAUGUUUUAAACAUAGUAUGAGUUCAAAGGAAAUGUGAGUCUGGAAAGGAGAGUUUGUUUUUACUAUUAUGCUUUUCUUUGCAGGUGUGUCUGCAACCUUGAGGCUUGGCCUCUUUUCUGCUUUUGAAGCCACUGGUGAAAUAGAAGGGAGAGGGCAGGGUGGUGUUGGAAAGUCUUCCGAGGAGCACAGUAAAAAUGCAGAGUUCCGUCGCCACUUCAGAUGAUACCAUAUUGUGCUAGUUCAUGUAGUUCCAGAUGAUUGAAGGCCUCCCAGGGGCAUAUGACAGUGAUAUCUGUAAACCAAAGAAGGACAAUAGCAUCAAUAGUACAGUUGACACUGUGUUAACUCCAUUAUUUAAGUGCGUAGCUCUUUAUUUUCUUCAGCCUUUAUACCCAUGUAGACAAUUGAUAUCUCUUCUAGGCAAGAAAAUGGCAUAAGUCAGAACAAGGGACUCCUCUGUCACCAUUCAGUGUGAUUCUUGCAAGCUAACAGUGGGACACUGUUGAUGUAGCCCAGGAAGAGAAGGCAUCAGGUGCCCAGUCCUAUCCAGGUCAUUAUACUUCUCCAAUCAGAGGAAAAUGAUUCGUGGUCAGUUGACCGUGAGGAAAGCCAGCUCAGAGCCUAGUUUGUUGUUUGGUGUCCAUUGGCAUCACGAUGCUGGAUCAUUGCUAUGAAGAGAAUCAUCCUUUGAAAUUCUUGGAAAGGAGCAGUGAGAUUUAGCAAGAACUGCACAUGGCAAAAUACAAAGAGCAUCCAUACAAUAUUAGUUCCCAUGCUGGCAGUUAUAUAAAUGAAGGAUGAAUCUGUAUGAAGGAAGGACAGAAAUAAAUGGGAAAAAUAUUCAUGCUUCAACAACAUGAUCUUGAACAACAAAUAUUUUCUCAUAGAUUUUAUAAUUGUCAUAAACUAUCAAAAAUGUUCUGGUAUUAAUAUUUAAGAUAUUUUUGUAGUUCUUUAUGUUUCUGCCUACAAAUGUAUGGUAAUAUGAGAGGGUCUCAUGAUGCAGUGCAUGUGUCCCUACCUCUGGGCCAGAAGGUCUGGGUUUAAACCCAAAAGUGUGUCAAAAACAGAUAGAUUAAUAAAAAACUAAGAACAUAGGAAAGGAGUGGUCAUUUGGACUUGGCCCAUUUUCUUUCACACUAAUGGUUAAUAGAAACCUACAUAUAGCAGUUUUAAAAUGUACUAUUGACUAGACUUUAAUAUAUCCAAUAUAUGGUUUUCUAAUGCUAUUGACUUGCAAGCUAUCUCAAGAAUCCAUUUUGAAAUUAACCUUAAUAAUUCACUACAAUCUCCAACACUGAAGAAAAGAAUCGAGGAUUACGGUGUUUGAUGAAGAAGGGUAGGUGUUGCUCCAAGCCAGCCUGAACUAGUUGGGCUGGAUGGUCAGUUCCAAACUGUAAAUUUUAAAUGAUUCUCUGCUCCUCUAAAGAAUGAAAACAAAGCAAACAUGUGACUGGAGAAUUUAAAUCCAACACUAAUCAUCUUUCAACAUGGUAAUCACCAGUGUUGUUACCUUGGUGAAAUCUGAUUGAAACCACAGUUCUUGAUAAGUGGAAUUAAUUCAAAAUGAUGGGUUGCGUAAAUCAAAUUCAGUUGAUUAAUAAACUCUGUCAUUGAUUA